GUAGGUGAACCUGCGGAAGGAUCAUUACCAAUCCAAAACUUACAAACCACUGUGAACUAGCUGAAAGUACUUGGGUCUUACUGAUCAAUUGUUCUACGGAACAACAGGGAUGUAUUACCUAAUAAGUAUAAACCACUUUAAAUAUAAUUUUUAAAACUUUAAAUUACUUUUAUAACUUGUUAUAAAAUUAAUUACAAAACUUAAAAAUACAACUUUUAGCGGUGGAUCUCUUGGCUCAU
This 239-nucleotide unclassified non-coding RNA is filed under the name rhizosphere metagenome. RNAcentral describes it as "partial ribosomal RNA internal transcribed spacer region". The record is from RNAcentral.